This 683-nucleotide long non-coding RNA is filed under the name Phaseolus vulgaris (common bean). RNAcentral describes it as "long non-coding RNA (PVUL_LNC001324)". The record is from RNAcentral. Lineage: Eukaryota; Viridiplantae; Streptophyta; Magnoliopsida; Fabales; Fabaceae.
UUUUUAUACAAGCAUCAAUAUCAAUCAAAUGACACAAUAUUAUCAUGUUUAUCAAAAUACAAGAGAGUGGGAGAGAUGAAACUCAAUCCCUAUUUUUCCAACUAAAGCAACAAAUUAUUUGACUUGUUUUCUUAUUAAUCAUUGUUAUCUCAACAACUUUCAAUACAGUUUUAUUAUUCUAUUUUAUAUUUAGUGAAUAUUUUACUUGAUUAUACAACUGUUUCUUGUGGGUUCGAUAUCUGUUCUUAGACACACAUUGUUACUUCUGACUACGCGGUGCACUUUCCGUAAAAGUCAUCAUGAUUGCAUGGGGUUCUUCUUCCUCUGUGUUUGAAGUAUCCAAUACCGCAAUACCACCAUUAACACCAUCACCCUUAACCUUAUUUCUUCUUUGGCAUCUACGCCAUAUGAAACAGAUUAUAGCAACCUUCACAAUAACGGCACCUGCAUUAAGAUCAUUAGAGCAUUAUUCAGUCAUAGCAAAAAGGUCUUGCAAAUAAAUCAAUAGAAAACAGAAAAUGAAAACAACAAAUAUGACAGUUUAAAUCCUACCUAUGACAAUGGGAGGAAUUACAGUUCCCGAAUUGUUGCUGUUAGAGCUGGUGUAGGACAUUGGAAAAAAUAUAAUAAUAAUUCAAGUCACUGCAGUUGAUUGUAAAGAACACUGUGCAAGGUUGCAGUUU